Long non-coding RNA from Physeter macrocephalus (sperm whale), 3894 nucleotides. RefSeq lists it as uncharacterized. The transcript is spliced from 3 exons. The record is from RefSeq and is a predicted model, not a curated record. Lineage: Eukaryota; Metazoa; Chordata; Mammalia; Artiodactyla; Physeteridae.
GCCGGAAAGUGCCGGGACUGUCGUGAAGAGCCCUUAGUCGGCCGCGCCGGGCUCCCUGCCUGGCGGCAGAGGGCGGAGCGAGGAGCCUUGGGGCGGGGCGAAGCGGCCGCGAAGGGGCGUGGUCAGGCCCCGCCCUUCCCGGUGAGCGAGGAGGAGCGAAGAUGUUCACCGGAGCUGCUUCUCUUCCGCCGAAUGACCAGUCUCUUUCCUGAGGCGUCCCGAUCCCUCUCCGCGCUUUCAACCUAAGAAGACUCCGAGAGCCCGCAACUUACCUGGGUCACUCCCCGCACCCAUUAGGCCUCUCCAGACGUGAAAAGCGCGGGCGCAAAUGUCAGACUCUUCCCAGAGAGGUUCCCGCCGAAUUAGGACGCACCUGGAAGGGCUGCCCCGGUCUAGAGACUGUGUGCAAGUUUCUUUAUUCUCUCUUCCAGUACCUGCCAUGAACCAGAGGUUUGAAAGCAGCAGGGGAAACCGGAACAACAUAGCUGCAGAGGGUAUGCAGAGUAGGGGCAAUGAAUAGAGUGGUCGAUCAAGGAAAGUCUUAGAGAGGCUGCACAUUGGCAUUUUUUAAAAAUUGCAAACGCAUGGCAGGAAGGAAUGCAAUGACCACUACUACAGUUUGGUGCCACUGUCUCACUCCUGCUAAGUUGCCAGCAGUUUUGCCACCAUUGCUUUUUGCAUCAUCAGUGCAAAUGUCAACGCUGUUAAAAAGGCAAAUAACAUCUCAGUAUUAUUAUAGUAGUUUUGUCCCUAAAGACUCCAGGGGUUCAUGGACCAUGUGCUGAGGGCCACUAUCCUAAAGGGAAAAAGCGGCAGGGGUAGAUGCAAAAGUAGAGAUUAUUGGGCACAGUUGUGUUUGGCAGGUGGAAUCACUGGGCUAACAAGUGUUCCUGCUGUUGAGGGUCUGGCCCACUUCUAGGUCAUCCUAAUAGGCAAGGGAGGCCAAGUCACUUUGGAAGCCAUAGAUCUAUUUAGGGGAUGGAUCUCUUAAUCCACUGUCAAAUCCCAGUCCAAAUGAAUACAGUGUGGGUUGGGAAAUUUGGUCUAGAUCUUCCAGGAUCACUCAAAAUUAGAUGGUUCCAUUAAGUUCAGUGUUGAUGGUCUGUUAUGUGCCAAGAACUGGACAAGUUACAGAGGAGGAAACAGAAGUGAUUAAGUUGUGGCCUCUGUCCUAUCGAAGUAGAAUAAUAAUAAUAUAUAGAAAUAAUAAAAUAAUAAUAGAAUGUAGGGAGUCAUCAGUAUUAAGUGAGGUUCGAAGUGCUACGGGAGCACUGAGGAAGAAAUGAAUUAUGACUGGAGAAAUCAGGAAAGUUUUUUUGAAAACUUGGGCCUUAAAGGAUGAGUAAAAUUUUGAGAGGAGAGAGGGAAAUCAAAAGUUCUCAGUAGUCUUGGGUGAACUGAGAGCAUUCUGUGUAAGAGAACUACAGCUAGUAAACGAGCUGUGCUAACUCUUCACCUUUCCAUCCCAUGAUUUUAACUUGUUUUUGUUCAAGGCGUUGAUUUCCAGUUUAUCCUUUCAGGACCAAUAUACAGAGACUCAUGGCAUCAAACAUUCAUUUAUCUAUAAAAUAGUCCAAAAUUUACAAAAGGAAUUUCUUCAUGGUUCUUUUCUAAUAAAAAUUCUCUUUCUGUCUGCACUGUGGAGAAAGAAGCCCUCUUUCAGAUCUCUCAAUUCAAUACCCUAAACACUUAGUGAAUGCCUACUACGUGCAGGAUAUAUGUUAUUUUCUACGAGGGGUACCAAAGUAAAAACACAGCCCCUGCCUUCACAGAGCUUAGAGUCUCAGAGGAGUCAAAUGUGUAUGUAGUUAAUGGCAAAGCAUAUUAUAGGCUCUAUAAAAGAUACAGUGUGAUGGUGAUCAGAAGAGGAAGACGUUAACUUCAUUGGGGAAAUCUGGAAGACUUCAUGGCAGCAAUGUCUCAAAUAUGAAUAGACUUGCCAUAGGCAGUGAUGAAUGAAGGAGGAUAUUCACUCAUCAUGAGACAAGUCCACUUGAGCAAAGAUGAGGAAACCAAAACUCCCGGAGGGAACCUUGCCUAAAACUGCACAACCAGGGAGCCGUAGAGCUGAUGCCCAAAUCUUCUGAUCACGCAGGGACUGAGAACACUCUUCAUCACACCCCAAUUGCUUCUUUGGUUGCAACUUCUACCAUGUAGCAUCUUUUCCUUACAAAGUGACUGAUGCUCUCCUUCUCCUGGGAUAGAGUCUUCCUUGACUGUAAAGGAAUCAGUGACUUUUGUUCUCUUGUUCCCUGACCAUAGCACCAUUUCUGCUCAUAGAGUAUUGUUUGGUGCCUUACUGAAAGUCUCACCUUGUGAGGGCGUUAGCCAGAUGGUCUUUUUUCCUUCUUCAUUUUCUUCUUUUUUUGACCACGCCUUGCGGCUUGUGGGAUCUCCGUUCCCUGACCAGGGUUUGAACCUGGGCCACGGUAGUGAAAGCCCAGAAUCCUAACCAUUAGGCCAACAGGGAACUCCCAGAUGGUCUUCUGACAAAGGGUAACAUUGUAAUGUUUGUACAGGUGAGGCCAAGCCUGCGGCAAUUCUGUAUGGUGAACAUGAGGACAGAGAGGUCACAGGCCCAACUGUGGGCACUUCGGAAUCUCCCUGAUGGUUGCUGGGUCUAGGCCAAGGGUCAUCUCCCUCAGAGACACCAGUGUAUGUCCAAGGCUUGCAGUGGCAUACCAGACCCCAGUAACUCCUCAACUGUUGUAACUCUCCUUUCCUCCCUGGGAAUCCUCUGUCAUUUCCUCCUGCUCCCCACAAACUUCCUACUCUGACCCUUUGUUUCUUGGCACCCCUCAUGUUCCCUCAACCACCAAUUCACUUAGCAUCGGGAAUUCUUAGUAAUAGUAAUCACAAAAGCCACCAUUUACUGAGGGUUUUUAGAGUACCAGGCAUAGACAAUGGAGGUAACUGAGGCUUAGAGAUGUUACAUAAACCUGUCCAAUGUCACAUAAAUAUUAAGGUACAGAUCAGCAUAUCUAAUAGAAAUGUAAUUUGAGCCACGUUGGUAAUUAAAAUUUUCUAUUAGCCAAAUUAAAAGAGAAAAGAAACAGGUGAAAUUAAUGUUAUCAGUAUUUUUUAUUUAACAAUAUAUCCUAGGUAUCUAUCAACAGACCAAUGGAUAAAGAAGAUGUGGUAUAUAUAUAUACAAUGGAAUACCACUCAGCCAUAAAACAGAGUGAAAUUUUGCCUUUUGCAACAACAUGAGCAGACCUCAAAGGUAUUACGCUUAGUGAAAUAAGUCAGACAGAGGAAGACAAAUACUGUAUGACAGGGGUCCCCAACCCCCAGUCCUCGGACUGGUACCAGACCACAUCCUGUUAGGAACCGGGCUGCACAGCAGGAGGUAAGCGGCAGACAAGCGAGUGAAGCUUCAUCCAACGCUCCCCACCGCUCCCCAUCGCUCGCAUUAACCCCUGAACCAUCCCUCCCACCCCCCCACCCCCGUCUGCGGAAAAAUUGGCUUCCAUGAAACCCGUCCCUGGUGCCAAAAAGGUUGGGGACCCCUGCUGUAUGAUAUCACUUACAUGUGGAAUCUAAAAAAUACAACAAACUACUGAAUAUAACAAAAAAGAAGCAGGCUCACAGAUAUAGAGGACAAACUAGUGGCUACCAGUGGGGAGAGCGAGGGGGAGUGGCAUUUAGGGGUAGGGGAUUAAGAGGUGCAAGCUACUAUGUAUAAAAUAAGCUAAAAGGAUGUAUCAUACAACCCAGGGAAUAGAGCCGAUAUUUUAUAAUAGCUAUAAAUGGAGUAUAACCUUUAAAAAUUGUGAAUCACUAUAGUGUACACCUGUAACUUAUAUAAUAUUGUACAUCAACUAUAACUCAAUUAAAAAAUAAGGCACUUGGGGCUUCCCUGGUGGCGCAGUGGUUGAGAGUCCGCCUGCCAAU